CCAACAGGGAUUGCCUCAGUAACGGCGAGUGAAGCGGCAACAGCUCAAAUUUGAAAGCUGGCUCUUGCAGAGCCCGCGUUGUAAUUUGUAGAGGAUGCUUCAGGCGCGGCGCUGGUCUAAGUUCUUUGGAACAAGACGUCAUAGAGGGUGAGAAUCCCGUAUGUGACUAGCUGCCUGUGCCUAUGUGAAGCUCCUUCGACGAGUCGAGUUGUUUGGGAAUGCAGCUCAAAAUGGGUGGUGUACUUCAUCUAAAGCUAAAUAUUGGCCAGAGACCGAUAGCGCACAAGUAGAGUGAUCGAAAGAUGAAAAGCACUUUGGAAAGAGAGUUAAACAGUACGUGAAAUUGUUGAAAGGGAAGCGCUUGCAAUCAGACUUGCGCGGCGUCGAUCAACCUGGGUUCUCCCUGGUGCACUCGGCGCUGCUCAGGCCAGCAUCAGUUUCAGCGGUUGGAUAAAGGCCUAGGGAACGUGGGUUACUUCGGUGACUGUUAUAGCCCUAGGUGCAAUGCAGCCUGUUGGGACUGAGGACCGCGCUUCGGCUAGGAUGCUGGCGUAAUGGUUGUAAGCGACCCGUCUUGAAACACGGACCAAGGAGUCUAACAUCUAUGCGAGUUUUUGGGUGUUAAACCCAUAAGCGUAAUGAAAGUGAACGGAGGUGAGAACCCUUAAGGGUGCAUCAUCGACCGAUCCUGAUGUCUUCGGAUGGAUUUGAGUAAGAGCAUAGCUGUUGGGACCCGAAAGAUGGUGAUCUAUACUUGAAUAGGGUGAAGCCAGAGGAAACUCUGGUGGAGGCUCGCAGCGGUUCUGACGUGCAAAUCGAUCGUCAAAUUUGAGUAUAGGGGCGAAAGACUAAUCGAA
This 857-nucleotide ribosomal RNA is filed under the name Spathularia sp. Y. C. Li 1199. RNAcentral describes it as "eukaryotic LSU rRNA". It matches the Rfam family "Eukaryotic large subunit ribosomal RNA", at positions 65 to 939 of the family's 3401-position model. The record is from RNAcentral. Lineage: Eukaryota; Fungi; Ascomycota; Leotiomycetes; Rhytismatales; Cudoniaceae.